AACGAACGCUGGCGGCAGGCUUGACACAUGCAAGCCGAGCGAAGACUUCGGUCUUAGCGGCGGACGGGUGAGUAACGCGUGGGAACGUGCCUUUUGCUACGGAAUAGCCCCGGGAAACUGGGAGUAAUACCGUAUACGGCCCUUUGGGGAAAGAUUUAUCGGCAAGAGAUCGGCCCGACGUUGGAUUAGGUAGUUGGUAGGGGGUAAUGGCCUACCAAGCCGACGAUCCAUAGCUGGUUUGAGAGGAUGAUC
Molecule: ribosomal RNA, 252 nt
Filed under: uncultured Alphaproteobacteria bacterium
Lineage: Bacteria; Pseudomonadati; Pseudomonadota; Alphaproteobacteria
Description: partial 16S ribosomal RNA
Rfam family: Bacterial small subunit ribosomal RNA
Source: RNAcentral